GAUGAGAUCCCCCCUCUCAGUCCACUGUUCUCCAGACUGAACAGCCCCAGGUCUCUCAGCCUUUCCUCAUAAGCGAGAUGCUCCAGGCCCCUCAUCAUCUUUGUGGCAGUUCCCGUGGCCUCACUAGGGCAGAGCAGAGGGGGAGAAUCACCUCCCUCAACAUGCUGGUCACUCUCUUUUUAGUGCACCCAAUACACUAACACAUCCUAUACAUUGCAUUGCAGUGGGCAAUACAGCUCUGUGCCGGGAAUGAAAGACAGGCUUUUGCCCAGUCAGAGGCAAUGCUCACUCCAAGCUGCUUCUCUCUCCCUAGUGUGGUUCUGGGACUAUUUUUCCUCAUAUUGCACUGUCUGGAUGCUGAGGAAAUAUAGCCCAAGGUGCAUUUUAAGAUCAGAUACCAUUCUGCUACUGCGAAUGCCCCUUGUAGCCUUUUUUCUGGCUUCAGAUACCUCUGACACAUAAGAGGAAGGCUCUUGGCUCUCCCUCCCUGCAAGCAGAGGCAAGCUUUUGAACCAAUAGUGUAUCACUCGUCUCACCUUUGGCUACCAGUGGUUCUGUGACUUAGCCCUGCUUCUGACAGCGGGGCUGUCAUCCAGAACCAUCCUUCUGGUUCAUCCAGAUCCAUGAUCUCACUCCAUUCUCACGCUUUGAUUUAGUCCCCAGGAGCACAUGGCUGAGCUUGCAGGCUUUGCUAUUUAUCUAGCUCUUCACUGUUUGCUGUGCUGACAGCUGGCGUCACUGGCGUGUUGGAAAUCUUGGCUUCUGAAGUAGUGCUCCCAAUUCUUUUCUGCACCUUGACGAUGCGAAUCAAGGAGUUCAUCUCCAUGCUGCUGGUAGCAGUGACUGUACUCAUUCCCAAAGUUUGCGUACGUGUUUGAGGUUCUCCUGUUCAAGCAGUGAUAACACCCAGUUCAUGUGUUUACCCGGGCAGAUAAAAGGGCUUCUGACAUUGGCAACUCUAUUAUUUGAGUGGCAUAAAGCAAAGAAAGUAAAGAACAGAAGAAGACACAUCACCAACUAUCAAAAUGCAGAUUGCUGAAGUGGAACGGGAUGUGGAAUUUGUUCUCUGGGUAAUGAGGAAAGACCAAGUAUUUACGAGGCAGGAGAUGAGAUGGUUUGUUCAGCCAGAGGGAAAAGCCAAGCUUUGUAGAAGGGCACUCACUAUACAGGCUUAGGCACGGAGAAAAUCCUGUUUGACCACAAUGGCAACCAAUGUGUUGGCUUAAUAUUCUUAUCACUGUGGUUAUUUUAAAUGGUUUUCUAGCAGCUGCUUCUCCAGCCGUGCCUGAAAAAACAAAGCUUCCAACAGCUCAAAGGCAGAUGUCAUUGGAGGUUGCUGUGGAUGAUGAACAAGAAGGGUUUCUGAAGUAUUAUCGCUGUUUGAGGAGGCGAAAAAAGUGCCAGUCCUGCAGCAGACCCUACAAUCAAUGGAAUCAAAGCAUGCUUUUGGAAGUACUGCAUUGAGCACAAGUAGCAUUUAGCCUUCACGUUGAUGGGUCAUUCUGAAGAGUAUCUGAGAUACUGAAGCUGACAAAAAAAGUCUUCACACCCUGAAGAACUUUUUACACAAGUGAUAGAAGAAAAAUAACUUUCUGAGCAUAUAUUCUUUGCAUGUAGUAGAUGUUUAAAGGGGAAAUAUUGACGUUUGUAUUUAAAAUGGUAAUAAAAACAAGUUUUAUACAAGCAACAUCGCAGAGAAGACUACUUGUGCUCAUAAGCAUGUGGAAAUCAGUAGCUCAAUCUGCACAGCUCCAUCUGCCUUAAAAUAAUUGGGCAUCAUCUCUGCUUUUACACGGGGCCAAGCACUGCAAAUCCCUAUGUAGAUAUUACAUCUGUGUCAAGGCUGCUCAGUCAGGUGGUGAUAUAGUUAACAAUGCAACUUGCUUUCUUCUGUCCCUUUAUGUCAUUUGUUCUCCAGUAACUUUAAAAGUAUUUCCCUGGCCUUUUAAAAAUAGAGCAACUCAAAUGUGGGCAACAGCUUUUUCUUAAACAUGUUCAGGGGAUGGCAUUAGACAUUCAAAACGUAAUAGGUAUGGCUCACCCUAUCCUGGGCAAAUGAAGUAAUGACGGUUUCCUGACACGCUGGGUCAUUUCUACUUCUCUACCCACAUCUCUUCCCUGUGUUGCCUGAAAUACGCAAAUACCAACCAAAGUGUGCUGGUUUAGAUAGCAAAGUUUGUGGAGACAGCAAUCCAUCGUGGAGGGCUGGCGCCAUGAACUUCUCCAUGAGCGUGAGCAGUAAGGGAACCAUCAAAACCUCCUCAGCUGGUCUUUCCCAGACCACACUGUUAAAACAUGGCCAGCCCUCAGCAGAAGGGAUGUGCUUUGUGCUAGGUGGCCCCAAGGUCAAAGAUCACACAACUGGCCCUCUGUAUUUUUAUUCAUCAGUAUGGAGCACGGUCAGGGUGCAUUGCUCCCCAGAUCCCAUUGCAGGUCUGCGACACCAUUCCUCCAAGCCUAACCAAAGCUGGGUUAAAUCUUGCCUGCUACAACCCAGGUCGCUGCUGCAAAGCAUCUUUGCCAGGAAAUUACUAUGGAAAUAAAGACAGAACACUGCUCAAAUUGCUUAUGGAUUCGUGUAUUUUCUAUUUAAAUUUGUAAGGCAUAUGAAAGGAGUAUACAGAUUUUUUGUUUUAUAUAUUAUUAUAUAUUCAGGUACGUAUUUGAAAAUACAAAGUAACAGUUAGUAAUAAAUGACGAGUGACUGCUCAGCUACCGACCCCAGUGUGUAACCUCACAAGUGAGGCUGGAAGGGAAAGGCAUCGUGCCUGUUUUCUCUGUCGAGAAGUUAGAGAAACUAAAAUUGGGUGUUUGACAUUGCUUACAAAUAAUCAUGCUAGGACAUCUGCAAAAGAACUGUGUAGUGUGUGUAAGAGGAAGCCACACAGACACUAUAUACCCAACACCUACUAUUACCCUAGGUAAUGCAUUGUUAGAAAGCAAGCCUACGUUUGACUCGGGCAAAGAUGAAUGGCUAUUCUGUAUCGGUCUUUAUAUGGAUGUAGGUGCUACAGAAGCUACUUCUAGCUGUUUCCAUGUCUAUUUUGUACAUACAGGCAAGACGCAUCAGAAGGAAACUUCCAGGUGCCCCUAUGACUAAAGCACUGCACCCUCUGCUCCAAGGUGCUUGCUGAGGACCUGCUCAGCAAGAAGCAGCCACGGAUGUGACUUUUCAGAGUUGACACAUCUCCAACAGCACGUUCCAUGAAGCCCAGAGAAUAAUUCUUAGUAGUACUGGCUCCCUGAACACAGGGACACGCCAGCCUGGAGAGGUUCAUCUCAUCCAUCCCCCACCUCAGGCAGGAGCUACGCCUCUGUUGUCCUCAGUGGGACAACACCUGGAUAUUUGGAAAGCUCUCGGCAAAGAAGUCCUUGUGGCUGCUUGGGAAAAUCCAAACCCUGCAGCUAAAUCCAGAAAGGGAAGCAUAAAAGGACUGUUUCUUUCUUAGACCCCUAUCUUUGCUUUCCAAAAUCAAAUGGGAGUCACAGAAGGAUGACAGAGAGAUCCUGCACCAGUAGCAGGGGACAGAUGUUCACCCAUAUACUCAAUCAGCAGUGACAACCAAGCCUCUGCCUCCUUGUCAGAUAUUUAUUAUCUGCUAAUCCACGGGCCAGUGACAGUCUGCGUUCCUCUCUUUGUCUGGAGGAAGCUGGAUGGGUUACGCAGCCCUGAGAGAGGAGAAGGAGGGA
This is a long non-coding RNA of Gallus gallus (chicken), 3690 nucleotides long. RefSeq lists it as uncharacterized. The record is from RefSeq and is a predicted model, not a curated record. The transcript has 3 exons. NCBI's taxonomy places the organism in Eukaryota, Metazoa, Chordata, Aves, Galliformes, Phasianidae.